Molecule: ribosomal RNA, 695 nt
Filed under: uncultured Gilliamella sp.
Lineage: Bacteria; Pseudomonadati; Pseudomonadota; Gammaproteobacteria; Orbales; Orbaceae
Description: bacterial SSU rRNA
Rfam family: Bacterial small subunit ribosomal RNA
Source: RNAcentral
UAGAAUUCCACGUGUAACGGUGAAAUGCGUAGAGAUGUGGAGGAAUACCGGUGGCGAAGGCGGCCUUCUGGACAGAUACUGACGCUGAGAUGCGAAAGCGUGGGGAGCAAACAGGAUUAGAUACCCUGGUAGUCCACGCUGUAAACGAUGUCUAUUUGGACUUUGUUGCCUAGAGUGAUGGGCUCCGAAGCUAACGCGAUAAAUCGACCGCCUGGGGAGUACGGCCGCAAGGUUAAAACUCAAAUGAAUUGACGGGGGCCCGCACAAGCGGUGGAGCAUGUGGUUUAAUUCGAUGCAACGCGAAGAACCUUACCUGGUCUUGACAUCCACAGAAUCUUGCAGAGAUGCGGGAGUGCCUUCGGGAACUGUGAGACAGGUGCUGCAUGGCUGUCGUCAGCUCGUGUUGUGAAAUGUUGGGUUAAGUCCCGCAACGAGCGCAACCCUUAUCCUUUGUUGCCAUUGGUUCGGCCGGGAACUCAAAGGAGACUGCCGUUGAUAAAGCGGAGGAAGGUGGGGACGACGUCAAGUCAUCAUGGCCCUUACGACCAGGGCUACACACGUGCUACAAUGGCGUAUACAAAGGGAGGCGACCUCGCGAGAGCAAGCGGACCUCAUAAAGUACGUCUAAGUCCGGAUUGGAGUCUGCAACUCGACUCCAUGAAGUCGGAAUCGCUAGUAAUCGUGAAUCAGAAUGU